RNAcentral lists this ribosomal RNA (497 nucleotides) under uncultured bacterium. RNAcentral's name for it is "partial 16S ribosomal RNA". It matches the Rfam family "Bacterial small subunit ribosomal RNA", at positions 28 to 507 of the family's 1533-position model. The record is from RNAcentral.
GAUGAACGCUGGCGGCGUGCCUAAUACAUGCAAGUCGAGCGAACAGACGAGGAGCUUGCUCCUCUGACGUUAGCGGCGGACGGGUGAGUAACACGUGGAUAACCUACCUAUAAGACUGGGAUAACUUCGGGAAACCGGAGCUAAUACCGGAUAAUAUAUUGAACCGCAUGGUUCAAUAGUGAAAGACGGUUUUGCUGUCACUUAUAGAUGGAUCCGCGCCGCAUUAGCUAGUUGGUAAGGUAACGGCUUACCAAGGCAACGAUGCGUAGCCGAACUGAGAGGGUGAUCGGCCACACUGGAACUGAGACACGGUCCAGACUCCUAAGGGAGGCAGCAGUAGGGAAUCUUCCGCAAUGGGCGAAAGCUUGACGGAGCAACGCCGCGUGAGUGAUGAAGGUCUUCGGAUCGUAAAACUCUGUUAUUAGGGAAGAUCAAAUGUGUAAGUAACUAUGCACGUCUUGACGGUACCUAAUCAGAAAGCCACGGCUAACUACGUG